Molecule: long non-coding RNA, 677 nt
Organism: Gossypium arboreum
Lineage: Eukaryota; Viridiplantae; Streptophyta; Magnoliopsida; Malvales; Malvaceae
Exons: 3
Source: RefSeq, a predicted model, not a curated record
UGUUAUACAUUUCUUAAGUAUAAUCAAAGUGAUUCUAAAGUUGAAGUUAAUUGAUAUGCAGAAACUAGCCAAGGAAGAGUUGAUCUGAAUAGGGAUACAUGCAACAGGGCUAAGAGAUUGGACUGGAUGAGAUCAAUGUAAGAGAAUGAAAGCCGAGAAACAUGGUGUUGAUUUCUUAAUAAUCUUAUUUCAAAUUUACAAGUUGGUGAUGAUAUUGGAUUCACGUUAAUGACUGAUAAACAAAAGGGAUUGAUGAAAGAGAUAACUGAGUUGUUUCCAAGGGUGGAUCACAGAGUUUGUGCAAGGCAAUUAUAUGCCAAUUGGAGGAAAGAAAAUCCAAGAUGAGAUCUGCGACAAUCAUUUUGAGGAGUAUACAAAUCAUACAUAAUUGUUGAAUUUGAAGAUAACAUCAAUAAGAUUGACCAUAUCAAAUCUAGUUCCAAUGUAAGUCUACUUAGUAUUGAUCCUGAGCAAUGAUCAAAGACAUUUUUUUUAGUCGGUCUAUAUGUGAUGCAAUUGACAACAAAUUUUCUUAGUCCUUUAAUGCAGUAAUUGCAAAAGCUAGGUCAAUGUCUAUCAUCUCUAUGUUAGAGGAAAUUAGGCAAUAUGUAAUGGAGAGGAUUGUAAACAAUUUGGCCAAAUUUGAAAAUUGGAAUGAACAGUUCUAUCCCAAGGUA